This 420-nucleotide ribosomal RNA is filed under the name uncultured bacterium. RNAcentral describes it as "bacterial SSU rRNA". It matches the Rfam family "Bacterial small subunit ribosomal RNA", at positions 362 to 773 of the family's 1533-position model. The record is from RNAcentral.
UCUUCCGCAAUGGACGAAAGUCUGACGGAGCAACGCCGCGUGAGUGAUGAAGGCUUUCGGGUCGUAAAACUCUGUUGUUAGGGAAGAACAAGUACCGUUCGAAUAGGGCGGUACCGUGACGGUACCUAACCAGAAAGCCACGGCUAACUACGUGCCAGCAGCCGCGGUAAUACGUAGGUGGCAAGCGUUAUCCGGAAUUAUUGGGCGUAAAGCGCUCGCAGGCGGUUUCUUAAGUCUGAUGUGAAAGCCCACGGCUCAACCGUGGAGGGUCAUUGGAAACUGGGAGACUUGAGUGCAGAAGAGGAGAGUGGAAUUCCACGUGUAGCGGUGAAAUGCGUAGAGAUGUGGAGGAACACCAGUGGCGAAGGCGACUCUCUGGUCUGUAACUGACGCUGAGGAGCGAAAGCGUGGGGAGCAAAC